GUCGCAGGGUAAGUCCCGGGCGAGGCCUGGCGCGGAGCCUACGCGGCCACCGCGACGACCUCGCCAUUCACCCCGGGCCAGGCGGGCAUCCUGGGCCGCGCAGCUACUUUACGUCAGCCGCCUCUAAAAUCACACGGCUCUGGCCAGUUCUUUUCAGCAGCUUUAUGAGAUUUUCUCAAAUCUCAACAAUCCGGUAUAUUUUCAAAAGUACAUACUGAGCAUCAAGGUGGUGCAGCGAACCUCCCAGAUCUGCAGCUCCAGCGGUCUUGCCUGAGCGUCCACUCAGGAUGAAGGUGAACUCGCAAAGUAACCGAGGAAGAAGAGGAUUCUGGAAUGUUCAACACACAUCCCUGCACCUGGCUCCCCACUAACUGUAGCAUGUUAUACCUGCAAUAGAGCACGGAUGUCCCCCGGAAGCAUGGCUGGAAGGGAUGCAGAGGAUAUGACUACACCAACACCAGCAGAGGCCACCCACGAGCCACUGCCAGGAACUCAAAAGCAGCGUGCAGCAGGACAGCAAAGGACACUGGGGAUAACACUUACUGUCGACUCUUCAUGCUGGACUUGUCUUUCGGGUUCUUUGUAGCCCAGGGGAGCAUCAAAGUCCACCUGUGUUUCCAGGAUUUUAAAAGUAAAAUAUUGAGACAUGGUCA
Long non-coding RNA from Symphalangus syndactylus (siamang), 653 nucleotides. RefSeq lists it as uncharacterized. The record is from RefSeq and is a predicted model, not a curated record. Lineage: Eukaryota; Metazoa; Chordata; Mammalia; Primates; Hylobatidae.